UACGGGGGGAGCAAGCGUUGUUCGGAUUUACUGGGCGUAAAGGGCGCGUAGGCGGUCGUGACAAGUCACUUGUGAAAUCUCCGGGCUUAACUCGGAACGGUCAAGUGAUACUGUCGGACUAGAGUACAGAAGGGGCAACUGGAAUUCUCGGGUGUAGCGGUGAAAUGCGUAGAUAUCGAGAGGAACACCUGCGGCGAAGGCGGGUUGCUGGGCUGACACGUGACGCUGAGGCGCGAAAGCCAGGGGAGCGAACGGG
RNAcentral lists this ribosomal RNA (256 nucleotides) under uncultured bacterium. RNAcentral describes it as "partial 16S ribosomal RNA". It matches the Rfam family "Bacterial small subunit ribosomal RNA", at positions 524 to 776 of the family's 1533-position model. The record is from RNAcentral.